This 1136-nucleotide long non-coding RNA is filed under the name Homo sapiens (human). Its description in RNAcentral is "long non-coding RNA NONHSAT186006.1". The record is from RNAcentral. Lineage: Eukaryota; Metazoa; Chordata; Mammalia; Primates; Hominidae.
UAAAGUGACUGAAUUCAGAAAAAGAGUGGUUAAAGAAGAAAAAGUAUCAAUUGAAGCUCCAAAAAGAGAACCUCAACCCAUCAAAGAAGUAACUAUAAUGGAAGAGAAAGAAAGGGCUUAUACCCUAGAAGAAGAAGCUGUUUCAGUACAACGGGAAGAAGAAUAUGAGGAAUAUGAAGAAUAUGAUUAUAAAGAAUUUGAGGAGUAUGAACCAACAGAAGAAUAUGACCAAUAUGAAGAAUACGAGGAGCGGGAGUAUGAACGAUAUGAAGAGCAUGAAGAAUACAUCACAGAACCAGAGAAGCCUAUCCCUGUAAAGCCUGUCCCAGAAGAACCAGUUCCCACAAAACCAAAGGCCCCACCGGCUAAAGUGCUGAAGAAAGCUGUCCCUGAAGAAAAAGUACCAGUGCCCAUUCCUAAGAAACUCAAACCUCCACCACCCAAAGUGCCUGAAGAACCAAAGAAAGUUUUUGAGGAAAAAAUACGUAUUUCAAUUACCAAACGUGAAAAAGAGCAGGUGACUGAACCCGCUGCUAAAGUGCCCAUGAAGCCCAAGAGGGUUGUCGCAGAAGAAAAAGUACCUGUCCCUAGAAAAGAAGUAGCACCACCUGUUAGAGUGCCAGAAGUGCCUAAAGAACUUGAACCAGAAGAGGUUGCCUUUGAAGAGGAAGUUGUAACCCAUGUAGAAGAAUAUCUUGUAGAAGAAGAAGAAGAGUACAUUCAUGAAGAAGAGGAGUUCAUAACUGAGGAAGAAGUGGUGCCAGUGAUACCAGUCAAAGUGCCUGAGGUACCCAGGAAACCUGUUCCAGAAGAGAAGAAACCUGUUCCUGUUCCCAAGAAGAAGGAAGCUCCACCGGCAAAAGUGCCUGAGGUUCCUAAGAAGCCAGAGGAGAAAGUUCCUGUGCUUAUUCCUAAAAAGGAGAAGCCUCCGCCAGCAAAAGUUCCUGAAGUGCCCAAGAAACCUGUGCCAGAGGAGAAAGUACCAGUACCAGUUCCUAAAAAGGUGGAAGCUCCACCUGCCAAAGUGCCAGAGGUACCCAAGAAGCCUGUGCCUGAGAAGAAGGUGCCAGUUCCUGCUCCUAAGAAAGUGGAGGCUCCACCUGCAAAAGUGCCAGAGGUGCCCAAGAAGCUCAUCC